This 4374-nucleotide long non-coding RNA is filed under the name Prunus persica (peach). RNAcentral's name for it is "long non-coding RNA (PPER_LNC005029)". Lineage: Eukaryota; Viridiplantae; Streptophyta; Magnoliopsida; Rosales; Rosaceae. The record is from RNAcentral.
CGUCUCCUCAACACAACUCUUUCCCUUUUACCUCUGUAAAUUAGCUCCCCGAUGGAAAUGAACACAGCUGCAAUAGCCAACAACAUACCAAAUAGUGCAAAGUGGGGUCUUCUUGGGGAGGAAGCCUGAUCACAAGCAGCUGACAAGAUCUCUAGGACAAGGUAAGUGGCUAAAAAUAUCCACUCUACUGAUGCUGAAGUAGGCCUCAUCCCUGGAACUCAAGGAGGGUCUGUAAAGAUUACUACUAGGUGUUAAAGAUGGGUCAGAAGAAGACUGAUCUCCACGAGGAGUAUUUGUAAACUAGGAAACCAAGCCAGUGCUUUUCUUUGAGACAUAUACCUCUGGUUGGUUGCUGAGAAAGCAGAGGAAUUUAUAUAGAAAAAGAAAGGAACUUUCGAAGAUGGAUCCUCUGUUUUCUUUCUUUAAUUAUCUGAUUUACAUCCCGCCUAAACUGAAAACAAUGAGAAGAAGAUGGCCCACAUGGUGUCAUGGGUUUAGUGGAGAAGAGGUUCUAGUGAGGUAGUGUUUUUGCUGUUGCUUACUGGUUCAUUUGGAAAUGGAGGUGUUGUUCUAUCUUUGAGCCUCAGUUCCAAAUGCCUUGUCGUCCUAAUCAGAGUAUUGUUGAGUAUCUUCUGGAAUGGGAUAAGGCUAAUAAUCUUUUAAAGAAGGCUACCUCUCAAACUCAGAUGUUUCUUGCUUGGCAGCCUCCUCCUUGUGGCUUCUCUAAGCUUAAUAUUGAUGGUUCUAGAGUGAGUGCCUCUGGGUGCAUUGCUGCAGGAGGUAUAAUUAGGAAUUCUGAGGGUAGCUGUAUAGCAGGAUUUUCUGCUAAUCUUGGUCAUGGUGAAGUCUUGGUAGCUGAAGCUUGGGCUUUAUAUUAUGGUCUUAAUCUUGCUUGGUAGAUGGGUUUGCGCCAGAUAACUCUUAAUUCUGAUUCUGGCCUUGUUGUUGAUAUGAUUAAUGGAUAAUGGGUGGACUCUCAUCCUAUGUCUGUGUUGCUUACCAAGUGCAGAGAGCUUUUGAAAAGCCAGUGGAAUUGCAGCAUUCUCCAUGUCUAUAGGGAGACCAAUUUUACUGCUGAUUUUCUAGCUAAGAUGGGUCAUCAUAAGGAGUUGGGUUACCAUGAGCUCUCUUCUCCCCUUGAUAUGAUGCAGCCUAUUUUAGAUGAUGAUAAGAAUGGUCUGUUGAGGCAUGGAUUUGUUUCUGUGUAAUCUUUUUGUUCUAGGCUUUGCCCCCUAUUUUACCAACAAAAAAGAAAAAGAAAAAAAGAAAACAACCUUGUCAAAGCCUUUUAAGGUAUGAUACCUAUCCUACAUCUCACCUAUAGCGUAGACUUGACUAAAAUUCACAAAAAAUGUAACGGUAUGACCAAUUUGCCGAUUAAUAUAAAGUUGGUGGACCAUUUGAACGAAUAGUUUAAUUGAGAGACCAAAAUGCAAAUCGGGUAUAAGUUUGAGAACUAUUUGAGUAAAUAACCCUAAAGAAUCAUCUGUUUUAGUACAUUUAUUUCUCAAGGGCAUUAAGGAACUUUCAAAAAUUUACCCUUCUUUUGUCUUAUUGGUAAGAAGAUAACAAAAGCGAUUGAUGAAAAAACAUUUAUGAUAGAUUAUGGAUCCUAAAACCCAGAAAUUAUGGAUCCUAUUUUAGCUUAGUCUCAAUCUUUUAAAUGUUUCCAUUUUUUAACCCUUUUGGAAAUAUUAAAUUUGUUACGUUCCACAUCAAUUUCUUCGUUACAUGCCACUAUGUGACAAAUGUAGUUCUUAUCUCUCACAAUAUUUACAGAAAUUUGAUGUUUUAAUUAGGAAAUCUACUUUCCUUUUUUUCAUUAUGAAAAAUUUGACUUUUGUUUCAAGGGUGAUGUGUCAACUUUAAAUCCUUUGGAUUGAAAUUUAAAUGAUGUGGCGUGUGGGGAAUGAAAGUCUAGCAUAUCCUAGUAGAGAAAUUCAAAGUAGAGGAUCGGAAUUCUGUUUUGCUUAUGAUUAAUUUGAUCGGUACCUGAUUCUCAUCCCCAUGGGAGCACCCAUCCAUUAAGAGACAUAAUAUAAUCAUGAAUUAAAAGUGAUUAAUAGAUUCAAUUAAUAAUAGGAAGCUUUCAUUUUAAUAAAAUAUAUAUUUUACUAAUUUGGAAGAUAGGAAUACAAUUUCACCUAAUUAGCAGAGGGUCAAACACCAAAAAGUAGUACCUAAUUUUAUAAUAAUGUAAUUAAAAAAAUAUCAAAAUUACACAAAAUGCCACUACUACGAAGUCAUGCCACAUGUCCACCUCCGUCAAUCUUCCUUUGGCCGCAACUGCUGCGGCAGGUCCAGAUACUGCAGAUGUGGCAGUUGAGGUAGAUGCGGGAGCAGCUGCAGUCCCAGCUCCAGAUACCGCAGCUGUGACAGGUCCAGAUACCGCAGCUGUGACAGGUCCAGAUACCGCAGCUGUGACAGGUCCAGAUACUGCAGCUUCUUCAGAUACCGCAUGUCCAACUGCGGCUCCAGCAGCGGCUCCAUCACUUGUUGCUGGUAACCAACUAUAUUGUCCUCAACCUUUAAAAAAAGAAGAAAUUUAGUGUGCAUGAAGGAACUCAAACCUUGACCCUCAAAUGAGGAAAGCCUCAUUCACAAACCACUUCACCAACCUCGUUUUUGUGGUAUUUUUUCAGUUAUGCAAUAUUUAUAUUAACAGUCAAUGGUUUUUUUUUCUUAAUAAAGAAAAUUAUUUCACAUAUGGGCCUCCUCUUUGGCCUAAUUCAAAACAAAAUUUGAUUCAUAGAUAUUAAAAUCCAAACAGAAUUACUCUGUCUCAAAUCCUAAUUAGUUGUUAUGUCUAAUACCUAAUUUUUGUUUAUUGUAUUCAAUCCCAAUGUGGCCUUCCCAAAGUGGGCUCCAAAUUGACAUUCCGUGAUACAUAUGGGACUUCAUCAUCUUCAUCACGUAGGCCUUCAUAUGAGACUUCAUAACUUAAGCCUUUUGGAUACAUCAUGCGCUCCCGAAACAAAAGAUAUGUAUAUGUAUAUGAUAUGUAUACAAAUACAAUGAAUAAAUAAAAGAUAAAUUUCACUUUACUAUCCAGAGAAAGAUAGAAACAUAAUUUCCUUUAUUUUGUUCAGUUAUUCCCAUGAUAUAUAUACAAAUGACAACUUUGAAUAUUUCAAGGUUAUAUAUGUGCGUGUCUAUAUAUAUAUAUGUUCUAUAUAUGUUCUAUAUAUAUAUGUAUGUAUGUAUGUAUGAAUGUUUUAGAAAUAAUUUACUUUAAAUCGUAAUUAAAUUAAUACCUCUACCUCCUGAUUAUCGACAAAUGGUAUAUUGGCAGGUGCAUAAUACUCCUGGAUUGGAUGCAACGAAGUUUCUUCCACGCUACAUACCAACAGAUGGAGAGAAUAUUUUCCAUUAGUGGAAUGGAAGUCAUGCAUACAUAUGAAAAAGCAAACAGAGAAAAGAAAGCAAUCUUUUAUGACUGUCUUGUUUAUUAAAGAUAGAGAGCCAGCUUAAUUAGCCACUCUCUCUCUAUCCGCUCACACUUUAGUAUUUACAUUUUGUGCUUAUUGAAAUAAAGUAGAAUUCCCAUGUGAUAUGAUAUCCAAUAAAAUCUCCCUUAAUUAUUUCUUAAAAUUUCCAUCUCGUCUCCUUCUAAAAAUAAAUAAAUAAAUAAAUAAAGAAGAAGAAGCCUUCCUUUUGUAUUAUCUCAGACUAAAAAGCUGCAAAAAGAUUUAAUAUGCAAAUUAAUUAAGCAGCAUAUGAGCAGUGUAAUUCGUGUUUACCUUGAAGUAUUGGCGUUCAUUCGCUUAUUACUUAGUCUUGAACCAACUAAACAGAUAAGAAAUAUGGCAGGCAAAAGGGAUGCUUUGAAAGGACUAUCAGCAUGCCGAAGGCAGUAAACAUACUGAACUAUAGAGCAAAUGCACUGUGAGAUGCCAGCAACUACUCCAUAAAUGUCAGGAAGAGUACCAAAAGGCGCAUGUCGAGGAGGUGGUGGAUGAUAAAACCACCAGAGCAUUCCCCGUCUCCUCAACACAACUCUUUCCCUUUUACCUCUGUAAACUAGCUCCCCGAUGGAAAUGAACACAGCUGCAAUUGCCAACAGCAUCCCAAAUAGUGCAAAGUGGGGUCUUCUUGGGGAGGAAGCCUGAUCACAAGCAGCUGACAACAUCUCUAGGCCAAGGUUAGUGGCUAAAAAUAUCCACUCUGCUGAUUCUGAAGUGGGCCUCAUCCCUGGAACUCAAGGAGGGUCUGUAAUGAUUACUACUAGGUGUUAAAGAUGGGUCAGAAGAAGACUAAUCUCCACGACGAGUAUUUGCAAACCAGGAAACCAGUUGUUGCUCUCUCAAUUUCCACAGCUAAUAAGCCAGUGCUUUUCUUUGAGACAUAAACACCUCUGUUUGGUUACUGAGAAAA